This 73-nucleotide transfer RNA is filed under the name Stegodyphus mimosarum. It matches the Rfam family "tRNA". Rfam says of the family: Transfer RNA (tRNA) molecules are approximately 80 nucleotides in length. Their secondary structure includes four short double-helical elements and three loops (D, anti-codon, and T loops). Further hydrogen bonds mediate the characteristic L-shaped molecular structure. tRNAs have two regions of fundamental functional importance: the anti-codon, which is responsible for specific mRNA codon recognition, and the 3' end, to which the tRNAs corresponding amino acid is attached (by aminoacyl-tRNA synthetases). tRNAs cope with the degeneracy of the genetic code in two manners: having more than one tRNA (with a specific anti-codon) for a particular amino acid; and 'wobble' base-pairing, i.e. permitting non-standard base-pairing at the 3rd anti-codon position. Lineage: Eukaryota; Metazoa; Arthropoda; Arachnida; Araneae; Eresidae. The record is from Rfam by way of RNAcentral.
GCCUUUGUGGUGCAGUGGUCAGCACGCUCGACGCGUAACCGAGAGGUUCGUGGUUCGAAUCCUGGCCAGGGCU